AUACGGAGGGUGCAAGCGUUGUUCGGAUUUACUGGGCGUAAAGGGCGUGUAGGCGGGUGCGCAAGCCGGAGGUGAAAGCCCCAGGCUCAACCUGGGAAGCUCUUCCGGAACUGCGCGUCUAGAGAUGGCCAGAGGCAGGUGGAAUUCCUGGUGUAGAGGUGAAAUUCGUAGAGAUCAGGAGGAACACCGGUGGCGAAGGCGGCCUGCUGGGGCCUAUCUGACGCUGAGGCGCGACAGCGUGGGGAGCAAACAGGAUUAGAAACCCCAGUAGUCC
Molecule: ribosomal RNA, 274 nt
Filed under: uncultured bacterium
Lineage: Bacteria
Description: partial 16S ribosomal RNA
Rfam family: Bacterial small subunit ribosomal RNA
Source: RNAcentral